CUCAGACUGAAGAGCUCAUCAUCAGAUCCAGUGCUGUACUGAACACUUAUCCAGGAAGUACAUUUUAACAAGAGGAAGAAGACUGAAGACGUGUAAACACACUACAGAGCGAAAUUGGAUUACAAAUAAAUCAAUACAAGCUAAAAUCUGAAGCUGCAGCCCUUACCCAAUUAUCUGACCGAUCAUCAUGAAUGCCAUACAAAGCAUGGAGUUUGAUUACCCUGAGAAUUGUAAUAGUCAAAAAGCCAAGAAGAGAUACAGAAAGCAAACCAUGAUGAAAAAUCCAGACAUUCUUUUUUGUGACAGAGAUGUCCAGAAUUCGUACCUCAUGUUCUACAGCACACAUUUAGCUUCAUGGACAUCCACCAUCUGUGAUAGAUACAGGCAUUUCUUAAUAAGUCAAAUUGACCAAGGUGAAAGAUACCGUAUAUAUCAUGAUAAUGCACUAGACAGAAAUGAUCCCUUUCUCACAAUAAACUUUUACACUACCGGCAUUAUCCUUGUGCAAGCCAAUGAAAAUAAUCUUAAAAUAUUUGAAAAUGACUAUUCUGAGCUGCAAACCAGAGCGACAAACAGGAACAACACAGACCCAAUCUAAGCCUUUAACAUCUAACCAGCUGAGAGAAGAAAGACCCGAAGAACAAGACCCUGCGGAGAACCCAGACACCAUAAACAUUUAACAUCUGAACCGGCGAGUGGAGAAGAGCUGACGAAAAAGACCCUGAAGAGAUUCCAGGACCUCAACCUUUAAGGUCUAACCAGCCGAGAGAAGAAAGACCUGAAGAAAAAGACACAGCAAAACAGUUGCUGAAAAGUCACUGAGCUCAUUUAUAAUUUCAGUCAAAUACCUGUAACGUAAAGCAAACUCUUGAUUUGCAUUUAAUUCCCAACCCAUCAAUGUCAACAAUUAGGCUCCUGGUGGUCUUUACUUUGAUACAAUUAUUUCUUGAUGAUGUUUGUGUUCUGCCUAAACUAAAAAGAUAAAACAUUUGGAAUCUUCGGACCAACUGAAAAAAAAUACUGUAAUUUGUUACAGCCAAUUGUAUUACUUUUCUCAAGUUAUAUUUUGGCUUUAAUUAAAACUUAAACUUUAAAUGUUGUCUUCAUCAAAAUAUUUGUUUAAAUAAAGUCAAAAAGGUAAAAAAUA
This is a long non-coding RNA of Triplophysa dalaica, 1147 nucleotides long. RefSeq lists it as uncharacterized. The transcript has 2 exons. NCBI's taxonomy places the organism in Eukaryota, Metazoa, Chordata, Actinopteri, Cypriniformes, Nemacheilidae. The record is from RefSeq and is a predicted model, not a curated record.